Molecule: long non-coding RNA, 769 nt
Filed under: Olea europaea subsp. europaea
Lineage: Eukaryota; Viridiplantae; Streptophyta; Magnoliopsida; Lamiales; Oleaceae
Source: RNAcentral
AAACUACCAACAUAACAUAAUCACCUAGUAGUAGCCUCUUUUCUGAUGGUAGAUUUAAUUAGAUUCUGAAUAUUGCUUAAAUUGGAUUCCAAAUGUAACAUUUGAAAUUUAGAUCAAACUUUACCAAAUAAAUGCCGUGCUAACCCCUCAAGGCAUUUCUUUAGAUCCUCGACAGCAUACAAUGUGGCAUCAAUGCUUGAUGUCUCCCUGUCAGCCGGUGUAAAAACUCUAACACUUUCCAUCUAAACAUUGUACAUAGGAAGCAUCGAAGAUGAUACGACUUGAGAAUUGAAGUUAGACAGAAAAUCGUGGUCAAAUUAUCAGAUAUUAAUACAUACCUAAUGGAAUACAGGGUAAUGAGUUGAAUCAAUAGAAUCUCUGCGGUAUACAUAUCUAGUGAUGAGGAAAUGAGUAUGCCCUCCCCUCAGUAACUCGGCUUGGUAAGAACUAGUAUGGCACCUCAAGACAGUUUCAGAAUCCACAUAAUAUGUAUCAUUAUAACUCCUGCUUAUGUGAUCAGCAGGUAUCAAUACAUCAUCAAAGUUCUGCAAGAACAAGAUCAACUAUCAAAAUGCUGCAAUCAACCAACAAAUUCAAUAGACCAAUGUGGCAAUACAAGAUUAUCAAGCUUUGGCAUGAAGCUGAAGAAUAAGAACAUGUUAAUAGAUUGCCAUAAAAAGCUGCUGCACAUAUUGCAUAUGCUGGAAUAAAGGUGCUGAGCUAGUGAUAAAAAAAGACCAAGUCUAUAGGAUCUGUUAUUUCUGUUUUA